AUUGUACAUGCCCUAAUGAAGAAUACAAUCGGUUUACGCCAUUAAUCUUGAAUUGAUCUUCUUGUCUUGUCUUCUCCUUUCUUCUUUUGUUUUCUUCUGAGAUCACGGGGUGUGACUCGAAUUUGCUUAGGGAGCUUUUAUUGUAUCGAUCACCGAAACAAACUUCUAUUCUAACUCUCAUCUGUUUCUUUUUUCUGCUUAGAGAAGGACACGGUAAAACUAUGGUGAAUUUUAUCUCUGCCUCUCCA
This 248-nucleotide long non-coding RNA is filed under the name Oryza brachyantha (malo sina). Its description in RNAcentral is "long non-coding RNA (OBRA_LNC001946)". The record is from RNAcentral. Lineage: Eukaryota; Viridiplantae; Streptophyta; Magnoliopsida; Poales; Poaceae.